AAACUCUGUUGAGAAACACCCUUUUUCUAGUGAAAUUAGUGAUUUAGAUUAUAUACAAUCAUCUAAAAAGGCGCACAAACAUGAGACAAGUUCCAGUCAAGUACAUUCUAUAGCCAAUAAUGAAUACAAAGUUAAUGACAGUUUUGAAAAUUCUGAGACAGAUUUUAGUAGUUUGAUAAUUAAUUCUAAUUCUACUCAAACAACUUCAUGCAACAGUGAUUAUGAUAUUGGCUUAUAUAUUAACAGAACAUCUAGUAAAACAUUCAGUGAUGAUAUUAAAGAAAAGCUUUUAAAAAAUACAUGGGUACCAGAUUCGUUCACCAAUUUGCAUGUACAAGUAUUAUCUAAUGUAAAUAGACACUUUUAAAAGUCCUGGUUGGAUGAAUUUAAAUGGUUAGCUUAUUCUAAAGUACAAAAUGGAGCAUUUUGUAAAAAUUAUGUAGUUUUUGGUCCUGGAAGUUUUUCCGGUAAAGGAUCACAUCAGAGUGUUGGACAGUUUGUGUCAAAACCAUUGCAGAAUUGGAAAUCAGCCAAAGAAAUUUUUUAUCACCAUUCUUGUCUUCUUCAAUAUCACCAACUAGCAGUUUUAAAAUCAGAUAAUUUUUAAAAAAUGGUUGAUGGAAAGAUAGAUAGUGUACAACUUCAAGUCGAUAAGCAAAUGAAGAAAGAAUUUAUUGAAAACACCAAAAAAAUUUCUGCAAUAAUUGAAACAAUAAUAUUUUGUGGGCGACAAGAAAUCCCAUUAAGAGGACAUAAAGAUUAUGGCCGCCUAAGUCUAAAUGAUCCAGAUAAUAAUGACGGGAACUUCAGAGCCUUGUUGCGCUAUAGAGCUAAAAAUGGGGACAAUACUCUUAAAUCUCAU
This is a long non-coding RNA of Melanaphis sacchari, 862 nucleotides long. RefSeq lists it as uncharacterized. The transcript has 3 exons. The record is from RefSeq and is a predicted model, not a curated record. NCBI's taxonomy places the organism in Eukaryota, Metazoa, Arthropoda, Insecta, Hemiptera, Aphididae.